CCACUGCCUCUCCCUUUUUGUGUCUCAUGCGCUCCAUUUGGAUAAGCUGGGUGGGGGAGUGCCUACUUGUUACCUACUUGUUUGAUGUGCACAAAAAGAAGAGUGAGAGAGGGGAAGAGAGAGUGAGUGAUAGAAAAGUUGCACCUACCAAGAUAGUGGAAGAAAGAAGAAGAGGGAAAUUCACAUCACGAGACUGAUCGCAGAGAGAAGAGGGGGACGGAAAGAAGAAGAAGAAGAAGAAGAAGAAGCCGAGAGGGAUGUCUAUGAUUUCUUCUCCUUCUUGGGCUAAAUUGAAAUGUUAUUGUUGGAUGAUCAUGGAUGUCUAUGAUUUCUUUAGCCUCUAGCUUAUUCAGAUGGAUUUUGGUUAGUUAUUGUUGGAUGAUCAUCUCUUAUCUGAGAGGCUAAUUUAAUCGAAUACUGAACUAAGAAGCGUUUGAGGGAGUUAUUCCAAGUAGAUCUUGCAGAUUAUAUGCUGGCUAUUUGCAGAAAUGAUGGUCUUAGGGAGCUUUCUUCUCCAGGGAAGUGCAGCAGCUUCUUUUACUUGACUCAGGAUAAUAGAUUCAUGAUAAAAACUAUCAAAAAAUCGGAAGUCAAGGUGCUAAUAAGGAUGCUUCCAAGUUAUUAUAGACAUAUGUCUCGACACAUUUAGACUGAAGCUGAAGGAGCAUGAAGUACUGUGUGGAUCCUGAAGAGAUCAACAAGCUUCCAAAAGCGAAAGCUCAGAGGAUCGAAAGCGCAGACUAUAGAUAAGGGGUAGGAUGGUCUCAUCAUCUCCUCAAAAUGUCAACUUGAUUGUCUUUCAUGUAAUUUCUAGCUUUUCAACUUCAGAAAAUCGUAAAAAAAAAAAAAUUGGUUUGAGAAUUUCCAGGUCCGUCAAUUGGAACACAUCCUAAAUAUCAUCCUUUAGCAAUCAUGAGAUUUUGGAAUAGGAAUACAUGCACAGAAAAGAGCCUCAGCAUGGUUUAGCAUGUUUGGAGGUGUCACA
Molecule: long non-coding RNA, 985 nt
Organism: Rosa chinensis
Lineage: Eukaryota; Viridiplantae; Streptophyta; Magnoliopsida; Rosales; Rosaceae
Exons: 4
Source: RefSeq, a predicted model, not a curated record